RNAcentral lists this long non-coding RNA (1884 nucleotides) under Portunus trituberculatus (swimming crab). RNAcentral describes it as "uncharacterized LOC123500942". Lineage: Eukaryota; Metazoa; Arthropoda; Malacostraca; Decapoda; Portunidae. The record is from RNAcentral.
UUAUAAUAGGUAUGUUCAUUAGGAAAUAAAUCCACAUGAAAUUUAGAGAAAAAAGAAAUUAUAGUUUGUCUUCUCUUGGCCAAUCUCUUAACCCUUUAGUGGCAAGGAAAACUGUUUGGGAUACUUAAAAUUGCUACUUUGAAUGGUGCAGGAAACUCAUAAUUGGCCAUUCUCUUAACCCUUUAGCGGCGAGGAACACCGUUUGGGAUACUUAAAAUUGCUACUUUGAAUGGCGCAGGAAACUCAUAAUUCAAUCUGAUUGGGUCCACCAAACCACUACUGAUUAGACACACACCUCCUUUCUCAAAUGUGAUCAAUGAAAGUGCAGUAGUCAUCCCGGGCCUUGCUUGGCAAGACUCUCAGUGGACCAGUGUAUCACCAGACAUGAAAAGAGUGAAAUGUCACCAAAAAAGUUUUCACUCUUCCCAACACCACACCGGUACUCAUGGAGAUUGGUUGUGAAACAUUUUUGGGGCGUUCUUCAUCGAGGACUAAGAGCAAAGUGUUUCAGUGGAUCGCUUCCAACAAUCCUUAGGACAGUGACCUUGAAGUGGAAGAAAAUCUGCUUGUGGAUGAUGAUUUAAAAGGAAAGAUAAAGCAGACAACACAGAUGAUGAAGAAGGUGAUGAAGAAGAGGACAGCAGACCAUGUGCGAAGAAAGCCAAAACUCAAGCAUGGGUCAAGGAACAAGAGAUCAGUGUGCUGCCCCUGCUACACUAUGAGCACCCUAGCCUGCCAUGAUGCUGACCCCUAUAGAGUACUUCAAUCUGUACAAAACACUGAUGAGGGCCAGGAGGUACUACAUGAGCCUGUUUGGCUAUGUUGUGGACAUAAUCAUGUGCAAUGUUUGGCUGCUAUACAAAUGGGACUUUAAAGCCCUUGAAACCACAAGCAUGCCUCUCAAGGACUUCAGGCUGGAGGUGUCUGAAUCCCUGAGGUGUGACAGUGCCUCAAGACACUAAAGUGAACAGGGCAUCCUUGCAGAGGGCUCCUGUGCCUCUGCCAAGGCAUGGUCAGAGGGCUGAAAUACCCAAUGUAUCUAAGCAACAGGAUGCCACCACUCUGCACAUGUCAGUCCAUGUGCCCAUGAGGCAGAUGUGCAAGCACUGCUCCUGCAAGGGUAACAUCCAUCAGUCAUGUUGUGUGUGUGACACCUGCAAGGUUGCCCUCUGCCUCACCGAGCAGAAAAACUGCUUUGAUGCUUUCCAUAAGAACCUCUAGUAUAUGCAUAUGUAUACCUAUGUACCUUUGUAUGUGCAUUAUCUUAUUGUAUUUGUCAUUUAUUUUUGUGUAGAAAUUGUAAAAAAAGAACUUAAUGUCAAUUACAUUAAAACUUGUUAUAAAAGUUAAAUUUUCAGGAAGAAAGAUUCUGGAUCUUACAAAUAUAUCCUAAUUUGGAGAGAUUUGUUCAAUGGUACUAUCUUAGGUAUAACUGAUGUGAUUAUGGAUGAAAUAUAAAUUUGGUAUGUAUUUAUUAGUAUGGAAAUGAUGGUGACUGUGGUCUGUCAUAUCGACUAUGAGAUCCCAUAUGGGAUGAGCGUGGUCCGUCACAUCUCAGCUACAAAAUCCCACACAGGAUGAUCAUGGUCCGUCGUAUAUCAUGUAAUAGGUCCCAUAUGGGAUGAGCGUGGUCUGCUGUAUCAUGACUGAGAGCACCAAUUGGUCUACUUCAUUUUUGGUCCAUUACGUGGUCAUUUAAAAAAGAAUUUGGGAAAAAUCUUAUAUAGGGAUGGUUUUUUACAUGGUAUGAGUGUUUUUUCAAAAUUCAUACAGAAUGUUUAAGUUGUUCUUAAAGGAUUAAGAUGACAGAUUAAGGAAAGUGUUCAUUUUUAUGGUAAACUAAUGUAUUGGUACCAUAAAAAAAAUAAAAUAGGAUUAUUUCCA